RNAcentral lists this ribosomal RNA (429 nucleotides) under Verrucomicrobiota bacterium. Its description in RNAcentral is "Verrucomicrobia bacterium partial 16S ribosomal RNA". It matches the Rfam family "Bacterial small subunit ribosomal RNA", at positions 355 to 776 of the family's 1533-position model. The record is from RNAcentral. Lineage: Bacteria; Pseudomonadati; Verrucomicrobiota.
UAGGGAAUCUUCGGCAAUGGGGGGAACCCUGACCGAGCAACGCCGCGUGAGUGAAGAAGGUUUUCGGAUCGUAAAGCUCUGUUGUUAAGGAAGAACGAGUGUGAGAAUGGAAAGUUCAUGCUGUGACGGUACUUAACCAGAAAGGGACGGCUAACUACGUGCCAGCAGCCGCGGUAAUACGUAGGUCCCGAGCGUUGUCCGGAUUUAUUUGGCGUAAAGCGAGCGCAGGCGGUUAGAAAAGUCUGAAGUGAAAGGCAGUGGCUCAACCAUUGUAGGCUUUGGAAACUGUUUAACUUGAGUGCAGAAGGGGAGAGUGGAAUUCCAUGUGUAGCGGUGAAAUGCGUAGAUAUAUGGAGGAACACCGGUGGCGAAAGCGGCUCUCUGGUCUGUCACUGACGCUGAGGCCCGAAAGCGUGGGUAGCAAACAGG